This 253-nucleotide ribosomal RNA is filed under the name uncultured bacterium. RNAcentral's name for it is "partial 16S ribosomal RNA". It matches the Rfam family "Bacterial small subunit ribosomal RNA", at positions 524 to 776 of the family's 1533-position model. The record is from RNAcentral.
UACGAAGGGUGCAAGCGUUACUCGGAAUUACUGGGCGUAAAGCGCGUGUAGGUGGAUUGGUGUGUCAGAUGUGAAAUCCCUGGGCUCAACCCAGGAACUGCACCUGAAACUACCAGUCUUAAGUGAUGGAGAGGGAAGUGGAAUUCCUGGUGUAGAGGUGAAAUUCGUAGAUAUCAGGAGGAACACCAGUGGCGAAGGCGGCUUCCUGGACAUCAACUGACGCUGAGACGCGAAAGCGUGGGGAGCAAACAGG